CAACUUUCAACAACGGAUCUCUUGGCUCUCGCAUCGAUGAAGAACGCAGCGAAAUGCGAUAAGUAAUGUGAAUUGCAGAAUUCAGUGAAUCAUCGAAUCUUUGAACGCACCUUGCGCUCCUUGGUAUUCCUUGGAGCAUGCCUGUUUGAGUAUCAUGA
Molecule: ribosomal RNA, 158 nt
Filed under: Ceriporia purpurea
Lineage: Eukaryota; Fungi; Basidiomycota; Agaricomycetes; Polyporales; Irpicaceae
Description: 5.8S ribosomal RNA
Rfam family: 5.8S ribosomal RNA
About the family: 5.8S ribosomal RNA (5.8S rRNA) is a component of the large subunit of the eukaryotic ribosome. It is transcribed by RNA polymerase I as part of the 45S precursor that also contains 18S and 28S rRNA.
Source: RNAcentral